AUGUGGACCUGUCUUCGUCAGCGCUAUGAGCCCUCUGGUGAUGCCUUAUACCUUUCUGUGGUUCGUCAGGAGCAUGCUCUUCAGCAGGGUGACUCUACUGUUGAUGACUUUUAUGCACAGAGUUCUGCUAUCUGGCGCCAGCUUGAUUCUCUCCGCAGUGCUGGUUGUCGUACUUGCCCCUGUUGCAAGGCUGUCCAGGCCAACUUGGAGUUUCAUCGCGUCUACGAGUUCCUGUCUCGGCUCCGUAAGGAGUUUGAGCCCCGGCGUGCUCAGUUGUUUGCUCAUGGCCGUAUUUCUCUCAUGAAGGCGCUUUCAGAGAUUCGUGCUGAGGAGACUCGCUUACGUGGUGCUGGUUUGCUGGAGGUUCCCUCUGUGCUCGCUACUCGGGUUUCUUCCACUCCAGCUGUUGCACCGCCCCAUUCUCGCUCGAGUGCUCCGCCGCUCUUGCCCACUCCUUCUGGAGGCUCAGGUCGCCCCCGUUCACAUUGUGACUACUGCAACAAUGAUGGUCAUAUUGGGUCCCAGUGCUACACAAAGCGGAAACACCUGCGCAAGGCGCGAUCAUCCUCCUCAGGGACUUCGUCAUCUCCCUCGACAGCUUCAGCCAUUGCUUUGACUGAGCAGGAUAUUCUGAGACUUAAGUGUCUGCUCGCGGCUUCAGGUUCUUCCUCGACGGGUACUGCUGGUUCUGUGACUGAUGCUUCCCGCACUGAGCACCCGCCCUCUACACAGUCAGGUACAUCCCCAUGGGUUCUGGACUCUGGAGCUUCUUUUCAUAUGUCUUCUCAUUCUUCCGCUUUGUCCUCUCUUCGAUCGCUGGAUUCUCCUGUUCAUGUCUUCACUGCUGAUGGUACUCCACUUUCUGUUGCUAGUAGAGGACAUCUUUCCACUCCUUAUUCUGUUCCUGAUGUUGUUCAUGUUCCUCGACUUACCAUGAAUCUGUUUUCUGCCGGUCAACUUACUGAUUCUGGUUGUCGUGUCAUCCUUGACGUUGACUCUUGUUCUGUCCAGGAUUGUCGCACGCACACUUGGGGCUGGCCCUCGCCGCCGUGA
RNAcentral lists this ribosomal RNA (1053 nucleotides) under Triticum aestivum (bread wheat). Its description in RNAcentral is "partial small subunit ribosomal RNA". Lineage: Eukaryota; Viridiplantae; Streptophyta; Magnoliopsida; Poales; Poaceae. The record is from RNAcentral.